AUUUAAUCAUGUUUAGUAAAUGCAAGUAUUUCCUUGUUUUCUAGCUUGCAUGGGAGUUUGGUAUACCAUUUUUCGAGACAAGUGCCAAGGAAAAUAUAAAUAUUGACAAGGCAUUUUUAAUGCUGUCCGACAGUAUAUAUUCAAAGGUAGGUGAAUCAUUUUAAGUAUAUCAUACAGUAAAGAGAAUAUAGCAAUAUUUGUACUGUUCAUUUAAUAGGGGGUGAAAAAAAAUAGAAUAACACUGUUUAAAUUCAUGGAUGUGUGUCGCAUUGUGAUUUUGGGUGAACCCCAAACGGCUGCAAACAUAUGUUCUCAAAGCCAAAGGGUUGCAUUUGCUAGAAGAGGGAAUUUAAAUUAUGGCACAGAACACAGACUUAAUUUACCCAACCUCACCUAACUCUGUAAAUCUAUGUUUUUCUAAGCCUGUUACUUACAUCCCAGUGACAUUACAUUUAACAUUCCUUUCCAAAGCCUACUCCUUCCUGUCUGUGAGGCUGACAGUGCCUGUAAAAAUACUCGCAACCUUUAUCCUCUAUAUGGGGUUGAUUCAUUCUCCUUUUCAGCUACUAUCUGCUAUUAUUAGAGAUAUUGUAGCUACUGGAACUUUUGUUGCUGAAUAGUGCAGUUAAGAAUUGUGACAGGGCCAGGUAUGUCUUGAUUGGAAGAUCGAAUUGGAUUAGAAUAUGCAACAACAACAGAAGCAGGUCUAGAGACAGUUGUGAAAGGAAGAAACCGCACUACACUAAGAACUAGAACCAGGAGAUGAUUGCAACUGUGGAAUAGAUACAGGUCUUAAAAUCACACUGAGGACCCCUAAAGCAUUUUAUCUUACUAAAGUGCUUUAUGUGUGAAAAGUGUGGCCUCUUUUAUUUAUUUUACAAAAAGUGCAGAUUUCAGUAGAAAUUAGCACUUUUAUAAAUUAACCUAGUUACACCCCCUGGCUGUCAAAGAGACAACCAGUCCUGUUAAUUCCUGAUUGUUCGGCUAAACUCAAAAGGCAUUUGCAGAAUUGGGAAGUUGGUCAUUUGACAGCCACAGAAAGCCUAGGCUGGGUUAGAAGUGGAUGGCUUGUAAAUAAUUCAGAUAUGAGAUUUGCAGUAUAUUCGUUGGGUGUAUAGCUACUAAAUUAUGAUUUUUAUUAAUUUUGACUUGCGGUUUUGUAGAUGCUCUGACCAAGUAGUUUAAGUUUAGCCAUCACUAUUUGGCCCUUGUUAAAGUCACUAAGAUCUUUAAACUAGCCCAUUUUCCUGCUUGCAACGCAUGAAAUUCAAGAAUUGACUGUUCACUUGCUGACAGGUGUUAUUGUAUGAUAUAAUCAAUGUUUUUCACUUCACCUGUCAGUGGUUUUACUGUUGUGACUGAUCAGUGUAUAUGUCUUCUCUAAACAAGUUGAUGGACAUGGCAAACAACUUUUCAACUGGCCCGAACACUACAGCCAGUGAGAAACGCUUUUUAAAAAGCACAAGGGCAGAAUGGUGCAAAUUAAACUGGAAAACUUUGACAUACUUCCCAACAGUCUCUCUUUAGAUGGGACUGUUCCUAUUUUGGGCCCAUGUACCUCUUUUUAUAUCUUCUAUACAUGUCCCUCUUUUCUAAGAGUCUAUCUAUAUGGUGUCUGGGUGUAUAACAGAGCUCCAAAGCAAUAAUACUCAGCGUAAUGUAAAUUGCAAUAAGUCUCUUUAGAACUUGAGCUGUGCAAAUACAUUAUUAUUCUGAAUUAUAUUUUAGUUGCAAAAAUAUUUGUUAGUAAGUCACCAAAAAUGUAUCUCAACAGCCCUGCUCCUGGGUACAUCCCAACUUACACCCCUAAACUUACAGUAUUCGUCUUUGUGCAUUUGGAAUGUUGGGAGGUAUGUUUUUAUGUGAUAUACUCCUAUUCGUAUCAGUAGCUAGGCAUUUAAAAGGCACUGCUGUCUUUGUUCACGCAUAUCAUAUGGGUACCUGGCAGGGCAUGUUAAGAUGUUGUCCUAUUGCUUGCAGGAAUAUUAUGGUCAACUAUUAUAAUUAUUUUAAUACAUGAAAGUAUACUUUGCAGGCCAAAUAACCCCACUCCCUCCCAAAAAAAUAUUAAGUACAAAUUUAUACACUUAAUCCUUUUAUCAUAGAUUAAGGCACUCCAGAUAUUGUUGACUACAUCUCUCCUGAUAGUUUGCCUGCAUUAUUGUCGUAAGAGCAUUAUAGGAGAUGUAGUCCAUAACAUCUGAAGUGCUAAAGGAUGCCUUAGCCUUUUGUAAACAUGGGGUUGACACACUUCAUUACUUAAUAAGUCACUGCAUGGAGAGUAAAUUACAUUUAAAUCUGCUUUAGUAAUAAUAAUAAUAAUAAUGUUUGGUGACUUGGAUGGGUCCAGCUUUCACCUGUCACAUCUUGCCAUUGUCUAUGGCAUCUCAUUCCAAAUUAAUUAGAAGGCUAAUAGAGGAUCCAUUCAUCACUCAGGAUCUUCCUCUGAACCCUGUUUUGCUUUUUUGCGUAUACAAAGAUUACUUUGAAACUAUCUGCUUCAUCUGGGGACUGAGAACUGUAAGUGGCCAUGUGAGGAAGGGAUUUUUGCAAGUAUAUUUUCCUUACCUUGGUCAUGCAAGCAUAUGUGCUAUGAAAAACGAAAAGACCCCAUAAGUGACAAUGCUACAUUAGCAACAGUUGAAGAACAAAAUUGAGUAUUUCAGAGGUAUCAUUUAUUUUUAAACAUAGUUUUCCACAUGUCAUUAUAAACAUGUAUAUAAUAUAUAUUAUAUAUAUUAUGGCCAAAGUGCAUAUCUGCAUAUACCCAUGCUUACUUUUCCUGCAUUUUCUCCUCUCCAGCAGUCAAACUAAGUCUCUACUUGAGUCUUCAAUUUGUAGACAUUGGACAUUGACAAAGUAAAGGAUGGCCCUAUUCAUUAACACAAAACCAGGUGUUAUAAGGCACACAGAGGGGUCAAAUGCAGGAAUCUUGAGAUUUAAGUUGGUUGGAACAGUACCUGGCGCUAUAUGAGAAAUAUAUUUAUUUGAAACGUUAAACAGGCAAAAUGCACAAUCCACAUCAUACACAACACACUUGCAGUUUGGGAGUAUGCAUUCCCAAAAAUAUUUAUUCCCAAAUAAAUAUUUACAGGUUACGUGAAAAUACUUGUCCUUAAUAAAAGUACUUAAUGACAAGGAAUUUGUUCAAACAGACCAUUCUCUUUCUUUAUCCUACCUAAAUGAUUUGUGUUUAAUAUAAAUGUUGUUUACAUGUUUUAAAUGGUAGAGUGCUCAAGAGUAGUUCAAAGGUGUUUUUCUGUAAGAGGUUGAAAUAUGCUACACUCUUUAUGUCGAGUUCUCUGUCCUUUUACGACUGAUUCCUUUAUCUUUAUCUCCAGAAAUCGUCUUUAUUAGUUGAGCAUAAUGUGGUGAAUUUGAAAGAAUCAAAGAAAAAGGCUUCCUGCUUGACUUGUAGUUGAAGAAAAUUCAGCCCAUAUUCUGGAAAUGUGUAGUGGACAAAUAAUUUCAACAUCAACAAGAACUCUUGCUUCACAUACCAUAAACUUGGACAAAUGCCAAACAGAUGUCACAUUUCAGUCUGUUACAAUUCAUACUUUGUGCAACUUCGCUUUAUUGUGUAAUGUUUGCAAAAAACAAAACAAAAAGAAAACAAAGGUAAUCAAUAUUAAGGAAUCCCAAUGUAAGGAAAGAAAUAAAAAUCAAGCACAAUUUAUUAUGUCACAUUAACAGUCAAAUACAUGUGAAAAGUAAUUUUGGAUAUUCACUAAAGUGUGAAUUGUCUGAAAAGUGAAAGUUAAUUUGACUUUUUAGGCAAAAAUAGCUUAAAUUAAAACAUUCUAAGAUAUGUUAGCUGGUUCUAGUUUGGAUAUUUUUACCUAACAUUUGCCAGUUUUGCUUUGAAUUAAUUUUGAAUUCCUGACCAUUUACACUUUAGCAUAUAAUCCAGAUAGAGCUGUACAAUGGAUGGGUGGUAAAAAUAUUACAAAUAUAUCAAAAUAAUACAAAAAUACUCAUCAACAGUGUAGGACAGAAAACAACAAAUUUUAUUACAACAUACCGAGGAGAACUAGCCACUGACUUGCUAAACCUACGCUAAAAAAAAAAUCAAUAUAGGAAAAAACUCCACCGGUUCUUCAAAAACAAACCCACAAACAAAAAUAUGGAAAGCAAGUUAUAUUUUUGCCUGGAAAUAUUACACCAUCUGUCUACACCAUUUCUCCCACU
RNAcentral lists this long non-coding RNA (4188 nucleotides) under Pelobates cultripes (western spadefoot toad). Lineage: Eukaryota; Metazoa; Chordata; Amphibia; Anura; Pelobatidae. The record is from RNAcentral.